Molecule: small nuclear RNA, 105 nt
Organism: Macaca mulatta (Rhesus monkey)
Lineage: Eukaryota; Metazoa; Chordata; Mammalia; Primates; Cercopithecidae
Source: Ensembl
GCUUGUUUCAGCAGUGCAUAUACUAAAAUUGUAAUGAUACAGAGACAAUUAGCAUGGCCACUGUGCAAGGAUGACACACAAAAAAAAAAAGAAGAAAAAGAAAAA